GUUUCCUUUGUGUCGCUCAGGGUUGGGGGUGGGGGGGAGCGUGUCAAUUGCAUUUCCAGGACGCCCUGGGCCCUAGCAUACUAAAUACGUUCUUCCUCUGAGCUCACCGAGAGGAGAAGGGAAGACGCAAGGAUUGCGGUCUCCAGGCUACAGAUAGGAUUUGUUGAGGCUUCAAAAUCAAAGGUGCUGCUCCAGUCUACACAGCUUUGGACUCAUCACCCAGGAUACUUUGCUGUCCUAGGAUCAAGCACCUGAAGCUGUCCUGAGGCUUCAUUCAUCAUGUGAGCUUCAGGAGUCGGAUUUACCUGAUUCUCUCCUUAGUGAUGCUUUCUGUGGCAAAGUCACAAAUAUUUCCAAGUGUUGCUGUAGACUGAGAUGGCCAGAGUCAUCCCAUGGUCACCUGCUGGAGGCAAUCUGCUGAUGUCACUUGACAAGAGUGUGUGAAUCAGACAUGGCUCUGCUAAGUCAUAAAUUUGGAAGAUGGAGAUGGAACACCCGGACCCAGGCCCUGUAAGACUAGAGACUUUGUGAACAGACCAAAUGAGCAGGAGCCCAGGUCCCCACGGCACCCACCACAGUUGUGCCAGCUCCCCUAACCUCCAGCACACAUCCAGGGUCAC
Molecule: long non-coding RNA, 620 nt
Filed under: Mus spicilegus (steppe mouse)
Lineage: Eukaryota; Metazoa; Chordata; Mammalia; Rodentia; Muridae
Description: lncRNA (ENSMSIG00000011827.1)
Source: RNAcentral